UACCGGAGGGGGGUGUAGGACAUCCCAUCUCUCUGGCUACAAUGCUUAUUUGUAUGGCUUCCAAGGGGUGUUGAUGAUGAACCUCUGUUAGGAAUACAAUCCUGUCAGCCACACAGGAUUACUCAUGUGUCAAUGACUAUCUGGGAGGACGUAAAGAGGAGUAUCCUCCCACGUUGUGAAGGGUCAAAACUGAACCUGGAAUUUCACAGAAGAGCUGAGAAGAAAGUUAUCCAGACUAUGAUUUCCUAAGCCCAGAGGAGUGCUGGCCUGUUUUUCAGAAGCUCAUUUAAGUGUUUCUCAGAUUUACUGUAAGGACUGGGGAUGCUGGACAAGAUUUCACUGUUCAUGGACUGUCCUGGACUCAUUAUGUAUACAGAUUGUCUUGGUCUCAAUAAAAUCCCUCUACCUCUGCCUCUCUU
Molecule: small RNA, 419 nt
Filed under: Rattus norvegicus (Norway rat)
Lineage: Eukaryota; Metazoa; Chordata; Mammalia; Rodentia; Muridae
Description: uncharacterized LOC108348563
Source: RNAcentral